Molecule: long non-coding RNA, 1917 nt
Organism: Cyprinus carpio carpio
Lineage: Eukaryota; Metazoa; Chordata; Actinopteri; Cypriniformes; Cyprinidae
Source: Ensembl
GUAACUUUGUAACGUUGCCAGUUGGUAACUACGACGUCGUGGCAACCUUGUGGAUCUAUAGUCGUGUGUUGGUAACCAGUUCGUCAUUUUAAUUCUUAAUCUAUAUGGGCGGACGUGGCUAAUUUAACUUGUCCUCAUUUGCCCAAAAACUAUUUAUGAAAGACACGAAUUUGAUUAAUUCAUGUUGUUUAUUACAGGUAUAGAUAAAUCACAAAUAACAAAACGGUAAACAGGUUUUUAAACAUGUAAAUGAACAGGUUUCUAAUCAUGUAAAUGAACAGGUUUCUAAUCAUGUAAAUGAACAAAGAAGGUUUUCUUCAGAAGCUUGAACACCGAACCAUUUACUCCUCCACAUCUACUCCUCCGUCCACUCCUCUACAUGUCCCUAAAACAAGAAAAAUGAAAUAAAAGAAAGAAAGGACCAGCUUUCCAUUUCAUGACGGCAUCUGGAAUUAAACAGAGGUCACAGCCGUUACAGUAUGCUGUAGUGGCUCCAUACAUUGUUAGUGGCUACUGCGCGCAUUACCCUCCUUACACACUCCCCUGGACUGGCCCCACUAAUAAGGCUGAGAUGGUGUGUCUGGAAAAAAAACACCAUUUGUUGGCAUGCAGGGUCCUUAAGGUGGUUCUCAAGGUCCUCCAAUUCCUCCAUGCACUGAGCUGUCUUGAGGUCCAAGAUAUCAUCCUCCCUUUGACGACCCUGGUUCCUCCGCAGUAAAAGUAGAAUUUCCCUCUGGGAGGCCGCCAGGGUGUCUACUUUCUGCAGCAGCACCUGCAGUGUUUCUGCAAUAAAGGUUUUUCUUUAAAUAAUUGAAGGAUUGAAAAAAGGUAACUUAUUUUAAUUUUAAAUAUUAACAGAAUAAUUUACCAACAAAAAAAAAAUUAAUUAACCUAAGGGUUAGAGGUAGAGGUCCCAGUAACCACGGGACCCGACAAGAUUUCUUGUGAUGCGAGAUUAAAUUCCCAAGUAAAACGCGGCAGCAGUCGAUAACUUUGGUGUAAUUUGAGAGCGGUUGGUCUAACAAUAUCUUUUUCCCGACAUCCUUUCAGAACAGCAUAUCUGCGCUUUAUUCUUGUUGACCACAGGUACAUCCUGCACUCAGGACUGUUAUGCAUGCGCUGCACGCAUGAACCAGUGCUUUCUGCGGCAGAUUUUACAUGCGGGGUCAGCAUGUGCAUAAUAGUGUUCAGUGACAGAGCGGUACAAGGAUGGAGCAAAGUGUGGAUGUGCUGUCCUUGAAGGACGUUUAACAUGUUUUAAUAUAUUAUAUAUAUAUAUAUAUAUAUAGGCUAUAAUAAUUGACAGAUGUUGUAUAUAUUUAUUUAUUUUCUGUGACACUUUACUUACCAAUUUAGUAUUUUGACAAGAUGAAUAAAAAAUAGCUAAUAGGCUAUAUUUGUAUAUUUGUAAUAGGCUUUUUUUCCUACUGUGUUAAGACACAAAAUAUGUUUAACAUUCUAGUUAGAGGUAAACGCAUUUGUGUACAUUUUGUAUUUUUUGAUCACAUUUAAACACAUUUGCUAUCUUGUAUCUUUUACCUUUGAGGUCUUUUGGCACUGAAAAAUCUUGUGGACGCCUUGUCCAUGGUUGUCUCUCUGCUGAAAAGGUAGCAUCACAAUUCUGUUAGACAAUUAUGCAGACAUAUGCAGAUUUCUUUACCAUUUGAAUAUUCUGUUGCUGCCAUUGGGGAUGGUCUGGGAGGCUCUUCAACAUCUGCAAGCAAGUUGAAUACACAGUUGUUAAGCUUAAGUUGGAGGCCACAUAUUCUUCAGUCACAUCAAUUUAAAUUCUACCUUCAGCUGUUGCCUUGAGACGAGGAAAGGGUUCAUCUGAAUGGGAAGCACAAUAUUGAUUACUUUAAUGCUGAAGCUGACUUUACUAAUUUGAAAUUUGCAGAUGUACCUUGACGCUUUCUC